This 3474-nucleotide long non-coding RNA is filed under the name Sus scrofa (pig). Its description in RNAcentral is "lncRNA (ENSSSCG00045020043.1)". Lineage: Eukaryota; Metazoa; Chordata; Mammalia; Artiodactyla; Suidae. The record is from RNAcentral.
AGGCCAAAGAACUUAGAUAUGUCGCUUAAAGCCGGUGAGUUUUCUUCACAACAGUGUCCACUGCCCCUCCUGAGGUCCGUAUCACCUCCCAGGAAGAAUUUAUUUUUCACACUUUGGCAUUUUGUGUAGGAAUCACAAUGUGAGUAAAAAUAUCUCACAGUUUCUGCAGGGUAAGAAUCCAGUGUUGUCUCUGUAGUGGCUCCCGUCGCUGAUGAAGUGUGGGUUCGACCCCUGGCCUGGGAACGUCUGUACGCCGAGGGUUCGGCCCUGAAAAGACCAAAAGAGAAAAAUCAUCUGCCAAGGGUAUAGACUGAAUAAUUAGGGAUGGAUUUUGAUACUGCUCAUAGCUGUCAACUUACUUAGCUGGGCAAGUCACUGACCAGCGAUGGCUUCAGUCCUGGGAGGCGCUGGCACAGGGGUGUCCCCAGCCACGUGUGGAGAAGAGGCACAGGCGGAAGACUGGGCAGGUGCUAGUCUGGGGCUGGUGGGAGAGUUAUUUCCUGAUCCAGCUUCUGCUGCUUCCAAAGGACUCAGAAUGCGGCAGCCUGGGAGGAAUGAGGCUGGGAGCUGGGGGAGCUGGGGCACCAAAGAGGGGCGGGUUCCCUGCGGACUGGAGAGGCUUCCAAUCUCCCGCCAGCACCUGGGGGCCUCAAACCGCAGAAACUCAAAUUCCCACAGUUCUGAAGGCUGAAGUCCAAGGGCAAGGUGUGGCAGGGCUGCUUUCCUCUGCGGCGUCUCGCCCCCUGUCCUCACAGGUCCCCUCCUCUGCCUGUUAGUGAUAAAUUUCCUCUUCUGAUCAGGACACUGGUCAUAGUGGAUCGGGGCCCACCCUAAUGACCUCAUGUUAACUUACCACUUGAAAUACCCCAUAUCCAAACGCAGUCACAUGCCGAGGAGCUGGGGUUAGAUUUCAACCUGUGAACUUGGGGGGCAUGCAGUUCCGCCCGUAACACCAAUUUUCAAUGGUUUUUCAGAUUCCUUUUUAAUGUGCCCCACAAGAGGGGGAAAACCCCAUUUUGAGCGCAAACACCCAAUGAAUCUACUUAUUUAUAAAUCAUAUUCUCCUGGACUAAUAUAUUUUGCACACUGGAAAGCAUACCCGUACAUAGACAAUUUAACGGGCAGACAAGAUGGAAAUAGAUGUUCUGUUUUGGGUCCCCUGGGACGGAGACCCCCUGGUCCUCAAAGGGGGACCAUUGCCUUUGGGGGGACCGAGUCUGGAUCUCCAGAUUGACACACUUAUUCCUUAGCUUUGAACACCUUCUGUAAGAUCCCAGCCACGGCUCCCGUCACCCUCUCUCUCUCGAAGGAAACGUGCCCUCCCUCCGGACCCGUCUCGUGUCAGUGUGUAGUUACCUCAGCAAUGGAAUUGCCUCCAGUUCCAAGUCCCAAGGGCACGCAUCCAUCCCCCCGCAGGCUCACCACCCCUGUGUUCCAUUCGCCCCCCCCCCCCAACCGUUUUCUAUUUGAUUGAGUUUACAUUCUUCCCGGCUCCUCACCGAGGCUGUGAACGCCCAGGGGGACAGGUUCGUCUUCGACUCUGUUUUCCUCGUGCCCAGCGUGGUGCUGGGGAGCAGCAGGGGCUUCCCAGAUUGCUGACGUCCUGGCUUUUCUACUUCAUCACAAGGCAAAACAGAAAAUUAACAACUCACUAUCGCUUUAGAGGUUAAAAAUUCAAGCCUUGCAAUUAAGCCAAAGAUAGAUAUGACUAUCUAUCACAAUAAAAAAUGAAUAGCCCUCUGAAUUGCCCUUGUAGAGAGGCCUCUGGGAGUAAAAAGACAUACAGGUCAAUACGUUUGACCGCUGUUGGUGUUCCCAGUGUGCAGGGCUCAGGGCUGCAGGCAAGGUGGUAUCCAGCCGCAACCUCAGCUCAGAGCUGCUGCAGGUGAAUUGACCUGUAAUGUUGCCUGAACUGUCAGCAGAAAAGCAAAGACAAGAUGUGAAAGUUAUCCUAAGGGGGAGGUCCAAGGACCAUGGCGAAGAGGCUGCCACAGUCCUGCCCACGGAGGAGAGGAAAAGCCUUGUUAGCGAGUGUCUGUUACGUGCCAGACACUGCUUAGCUUUCCCUGCCUGAGCUCCUUCAAUCCUCCAACACCACCAAGUAGGAAACAUCCGUGCUUCGCAGAUGCUGUUACUUCGAGACGUGAGGUAGUCGUCCCAGUAUCACAGAGCUAGGAGGGGAGUGGAGGAGCCGGAUUUGAACCCGGGGCUGUCUGACGGGGGGAGACGGUGGCUUCAUCUAUCAUCCUGCUGGGACCGGUGGAUCCCAGGCGCUUCCCCAUCUUCCAGCAUCUUUCCUUGACUCUCUCACCUCUUCUAGGCAGUGCCUCUGCCCUAUUCCCCGGUGGCGCUCUCUUCUGAUCAAGGCGGGCUGGCUGGACAAAGGCGGUAAUUACUGACCGAGGACCAGCCCCCCUCUCUGGCGAUCGACGUCCAUUCAGACUCGGGUCUCGAGGGGACCGUGUCGGACCCAGGAUGGAGAGAGAACCAAGGGCGGGCAGGCCUGUAGGACCUUGCCAGAUCAUGUCAGGCUGGCAGCCGUCUCUCCUGGGCCGUAUGGAGGCAUGGUGGGUUUUGUGUGGCUUUUGUCUGGGUUUAGUCCCAACCUCAGUGGGAGACGAACGAUGGGCUAUUAGACACCCUUACCUUAGGCUAUGAUGGACAGAACACCAACACGCCUAAGAACAGACUCUAUCUGUUGCUUAAUUAGAAGGAGGAGGCGUGAGUUCUGCUUUAAAGAAGAGCCUCUCAGAGUUCCCCUUGUGGCUCAUGGAACCCGACUAGUAUCCAUGAGGACGCAGGUUCGAUCCCUGGCCUCGCUCAGUGGGUUAAGGAUCCGCUGUUGCUGCGAGUGGUAGUGUAGGUCGAAGAUGUGGCUUGGAUUCAGCAUUGCUGUGGUUGUGGUGUAGGCAGGCAGCUGCAGCCCCCAUUCAACCCCUAGCCUGGGAGCUUCCUACAUCACAGGUGUAGCCAUAAGAAAAAAAGAGAGCGAGAGAAGAGUCUUUCUCGUGGUGCUGGCCUUCCCUUCCUGGGUCACCUGGGAUUUGAGGUCGGUUGUGCUCUUGAGUAUGUUCUUAGUGAACUUAGUUCACUGGCCGGAGACUUUCCCUUGAGGUUUCUUUGCCAAUGGACCCGGCUUCUAGGGCCGAGUGGCUGGUGGGGCUUUGUGGGCUAAGGGAGAGCUCCCGGUAGGCCUCAUCAAAACUGCACACCUUGUCACCAGAGGGGGCUCUGGGCAUUUUGACACUGUCUGAAACCUGCCCUCUAGUCUUUCCAAGUCAAGGGGACAUCAUCUCUCCACUCUUUGGAGCCCCAUUCACCCUUGAAAAAACGGAUCAAAUUUUCAACUUGACAAUAAGUGCCAGGCAAAUGCCUUCAUGGGUGCAGAACCCCCGCCCCCGCAGGCUCAGUGAUGGACAGUGGGGGACACAGACUCUAAAACCGAAAAACAUCCCAAGAAAUAGCAACAACAAC